This is a non-coding RNA of Manis javanica (Malayan pangolin), 1445 nucleotides long. The record is from RefSeq and is a predicted model, not a curated record. NCBI's taxonomy places the organism in Eukaryota, Metazoa, Chordata, Mammalia, Pholidota, Manidae.
UACAUUCAGGUCUUUGAUCCAUUUUGAGUUUACUUUUGUGUAUGGGGUUAGACAAUAAUCCAGUUUCAUUCUCUUACAUGUAGCUGUCCAGUUUUCCUGCCUCCCUCUUAAAAGGAGUUAUGUGAUUACAUUGGGUCCACCCAGAUCAUCCCUCAUCUCAAAAUCCUUAAUUUAAUCACACCUGCAACGUUCCUUUUACCAUAUAAGGUCAGGAAACAGGCUCAGAGAGGGAGAAGAAACUGCCUGCGGAGCUAUGAUGACUUCAUGGUUGACUUGGGAUUUGAACUUCUGUCUUCUACAUUUCUGCCUUGGACACUCAGAAAUAAUCAGGAAACUAACUAUCAAAGGCUGUUAAAAGGACUUGGAAGCCAACCUGAAGAUGGUGUAAUGGUGUAAUUCCAGCUGCAACAAAGUGAAGAAAAGCACACAGUGAGACUCAGAGAGGUUACCUGUGGCCACACAGAAGAGAGUAGAGCACUGGUUUUGAAGCCAGGCAGUCCGGCUCCCAGCCUGUGCUCUCGUGCACAGAGUGCGCACCUCAGCAUUUCUUACAUGGUGCCCACUGCCCUGUUUGCAACCUCUCCCAGGGUCUGAGAUCUCGGCCUGGCUGAAGCAUUUCCAAAACAGGGCCUGGGAAGGUGGAUUUGUUCGACAUGCUGAUUGCAGCAGGAUGGAGAAUUCUCCAAAAGAAGCCUGGGAAGUGAAUAUUCCAGAAUGCCCUAGAGCUUGUUUCAUUAGGUAGACAAGUAGUAUGGGUGCCUUGGGAACCUCUGGAGUUCUUUAUGGGGUCAGUACUCCCACCCCAGUAGAUGUUUCAAUUGUUGGUUUCCAAUAGCUUACUGUUUCUCCUUCUCCUGAGUAUCAUGACCUUGGAAGGCACUUCACCCAAAAAGUUCUCCCCCUCACCCACAGAGUGGCUUGCAUUAGAUGGCCAGCUUAUGCAGAGGUAUAAAGGCUGGCCUCCUUGCAAGACUUGACCUGAGACUAUAUCUUUGCUUGGUUCUCUCCCCUAAUAAAUCACAUGUGCCUAAUCCCUGCCUCAGGCUCUGUUUCCAGGGAACCCUACUGAAGAUAGCCCUGAGCCUCAGGAAGUGCUUUUGUGAGUGGGCCUUUUUGCUAGCCCUGAGCCACGUGCUCCAUUAGCAAGAUUCUGGACCCAAAACCAGACUGAUCUAGGUUCACAUCCCAAUACAACUGCCUAACUGCUGUGUAAUCUUGGCCAAUGACUGGUUACUACACCUCAGUUUUCUCAUCUGUAAAAUGAAAGAAAAACACUUACCUCACAGGGCUUUGUAAGGAUCAACUGCAACAGUGCUGCUAUUGCUAUUCCUCCAGACUAACAGCACCCGUUCCCUGCAAAGGAAGCGGCUUUUACCAUCUAGUUUGAAGAUGUGCUCUGGGGUAGGUCUCCAGACAAAGGGAUGGCUGGGGUUCAAUUGCAAUAA